UGAAGCGGCAACAGCUCGAAUUUGAAAUCUGGCCUCGGCCCGAGUUGUAAUCUGUAGAGGAUGCUUUUGGCGCGGUGCCUUCCGAGUGCCCUGGAACGGGACGCCACAGAGGGUGAGAGCCCCGUAUGGUCGGACACCAAGCCUGUGUAAAGCUCCUUCGACGAGUCGGGUAGCUUGGGAAUGCUGCUCUAAGUGGGAGGUAAACUUCUUCUAAAGCUAAAUACUGGCCAGAGACCGAUAGCGCACAAGUAGAGUGAUCGAAAGAUGAAAAGCACUUUGAAAAGAGGGUCAAAUAGUACGUGAAAUUGUUGAAAGGGAAGCGCUCAUGACCAGACUUGCGCCGGGCUGAUCAUCCAGUGGUCUCCACUGGUGCACUCUGCCCGGCUCAGGCCAGCGUCGGCUGUCACGGGGGGACAAAAGCACUGGGAAAGUAGCUCUCUCCGGGGAGUGUUAUAGCCCUAUGCAGAAUACC
This 472-nucleotide ribosomal RNA is filed under the name Phialemonium inflatum. RNAcentral's name for it is "eukaryotic LSU rRNA". It matches the Rfam family "Eukaryotic large subunit ribosomal RNA", at positions 94 to 577 of the family's 3401-position model. Lineage: Eukaryota; Fungi; Ascomycota; Sordariomycetes; Cephalothecales; Cephalothecaceae. The record is from RNAcentral.